This 28-nucleotide small RNA is filed under the name Bombyx mori (domestic silkworm). Its description in RNAcentral is "ovarian small RNA-18297". The record is from RNAcentral. Lineage: Eukaryota; Metazoa; Arthropoda; Insecta; Lepidoptera; Bombycidae.
UAAAGAGUAUAAUUACAUGUGAAUUUGC